GCGUUGUUCGGAAUUACUGGGCGUAAAGCGUACGUAUGCGGCCCUGUAAGUUAGAGGUGAAAGCCCGGAGCUCAACUUCGGAAUUGCCUUUAAGACUGCAGAGCUAGAAUCGUGGAGAGGUUAGUGGAAUUCCGAGUGUAGAGGUGAAAUUCGUAGAUAUUCGGAAGAACACCAGUGGCGAAGGCGACUAACUGGACAAGUAUUGACGCUGAGGUACGAAAGCGUG
This 226-nucleotide ribosomal RNA is filed under the name uncultured bacterium. Its description in RNAcentral is "partial 16S ribosomal RNA". It matches the Rfam family "Bacterial small subunit ribosomal RNA", at positions 538 to 763 of the family's 1533-position model. The record is from RNAcentral.